RNAcentral lists this ribosomal RNA (311 nucleotides) under uncultured bacterium. Its description in RNAcentral is "bacterial SSU rRNA". It matches the Rfam family "Bacterial small subunit ribosomal RNA", at positions 28 to 334 of the family's 1533-position model. The record is from RNAcentral.
GAUGAACGCUAGCGGCAGGCUUAACACAUGCAAGUCGAGGGGUAACAGGGAUUGCUUGCAAUCCGCUGACGACCGGCGCACGGGUGCGUAACGCGUAUAGAAUCUACCUUUUACAGAGGGAUAGCCUUUAGAAAUGAAGAUUAAUACCUCAUAGUAUUUAGAAGUGGCAUCACUUUUAAAUUAAAGUUUCGAUGGUAAAAGAUGACUAUGCGUUCUAUUAGCUAGUAGGUAAGGUAACGGCUUACCUAGGCGACGAUAGAUAGGGGUCCUGAGAGGGAGAUCCCCCACACUGGUACUGAGACACGGACCAG